AUGUCGAGCGCCGCGAACCUUGCGCAGCUCCUGCCGACGGGAACAUUGCUAGCGCACCAGGCUCUAUCCCCUUCCUUCACCAACCACGGCAAGUGCGAUGCCUCCAACCAGUGGCUCACCACCGUGAUGGUCAUCAUCCUCACCACCCUGUGCAUCCUCUUCUCCUUCACCGACAGCGUCCUUGGCCGCGACCAGAAGCUCUACUACGGCGUCGCCACACCACGCGGCUUCAACGUGUUCAACUUCUCCGAUGAAGAGGAGAAGCUGAAGUGGACUCCACCUGAGUUCCGGAGGCUCCGCAUCCGGCCGCUCGAGUUUUUGCAUGCCAUCUUCACAGCGCUGGUCUUUCUCACCGUGGCGUUCAGCGAGGUAGGUCUACAAAGCUGCUUCUUCCCCAAUGCCGGUAAGAACACCACGGAGCUGCUGAAGAACCUACCUUUGGGCAUCACAUUUCUGUCGAGUUUUGUGUUCAUGGUCUUCCCCACAAAGAGGAAGGGCAUCGGCCACACCGACACCACUCCUCGCGAGAAGCUCACUUGA
This 540-nucleotide ribosomal RNA is filed under the name Triticum aestivum (bread wheat). RNAcentral's name for it is "partial small subunit ribosomal RNA". The record is from RNAcentral. Lineage: Eukaryota; Viridiplantae; Streptophyta; Magnoliopsida; Poales; Poaceae.